Lolium rigidum is the source of this 957-nucleotide long non-coding RNA. RefSeq lists it as uncharacterized. The record is from RefSeq and is a predicted model, not a curated record. The transcript has 3 exons. NCBI's taxonomy places the organism in Eukaryota, Viridiplantae, Streptophyta, Magnoliopsida, Poales, Poaceae.
UGGCCGGUCGAGCGACGGCGAGCUCCCAUGGCAGGGGAGACAGUGGAGCUCCUCAACGCGUGGUACUGGGGCCGGGCGGGGACCCCCAAAUGGAGCCAUGGUGGUGCUCGGCAGCAUACGCGGCUGCUGCGACGAGGAAGAGCUGGCAAUCGCUUGCAUCGAGCUGCUUUUGCCGCUGCCCACCCGAAGCCGCUACCGGCGACUUCCGGCGACACCUCCGAAAGCUGAUGUUCGCGGCGAUGUCCACGAACUCAUGCCGCCGGCCACCUCUUGGAUAUGCUGCUCCCAGCUACAUCCCCAACUAGCUGCUGCCAUGCCGGUACGGUGGUGGCAUGAGUUCAGCUAAGGCAGCACUUGAGAGCGAUACCAGAGUAUGUUCUAUGUAGGUUCUUGCUUAUGAAGCAGGUCAAAAAGACAAAAUCGGAGUGAACACAAUAUCAGCAGGAACACAUGCCAGCAUGGUGCAGUACAGAAACAAAGGCAAGAUGAGGAUCUUGGCAAGAUGAUGAGAUUUCUAGUAAUUCAAUUAUCUGCCAUGCCAUAGAUCGUGGCUGCCACUCAAGGGAAAUAGGGCAAAUAUUGAUGGGAAGGAGGGAAGAUCGAGAGAACAAUGUGUUACAUGGACCGUGGCUGUCCUUCAUGAUCGCUGAUCAUGGCUGCGCCACCGGUGGUCCGGCCGUUGCCGCCGGCGGUGAUCCCACUCAGCUUCUCUGUUUCGCGGAUCCUGUUUCUCCGCUGCUGCAAAAGGAACAACUGUAGAGGACGGUUUUGUUCUGUUUCAGGAUUGAUUUGGUUGACCAAUCGAUUGAGUGCAGAUCUAAUCCGUUAGGUGAUCGUUCCAGCCACAUACGUACAGUUACGGUAUUUCACAAAGUAUUUUGGAGUAAAAAAAUUUAAUAGAGCUGUAAAGGGAGGUAUAGGGCAAAUUAUAAAGGAAUGAGUGUAAUGUGUGGCAAA